RNAcentral lists this ribosomal RNA (508 nucleotides) under uncultured bacterium. Its description in RNAcentral is "bacterial SSU rRNA". It matches the Rfam family "Bacterial small subunit ribosomal RNA", at positions 29 to 518 of the family's 1533-position model. The record is from RNAcentral.
AACGAACGCUGGCGGCGCGUCUUAAGCAUGCAAGUCGAGCGGUAAGUUGGAAGCUUGCUUCUAACCUAGAGCGGCGGACUGGUGAGUAACGCGUGGGUGACGUACCUCUGUGACGGGGACAGCUCCUAGAAAUAGGAGAUAAUACCGGAUACGCUGCAUGUUGUCAGAGGACAUGCAGGAAAGGAUCUUUUGAUUCGCACAGAGAGCGGCCCGCGUACUAUUAGCUUGUUGGUGAGGUAACGGCCCACCAAGGCGACGAUAGUUACCCGGCCUAAGAGGGUGAUCGGGCACAUUGGGACUGAGAUACGGCCCAGACUCCUACGGGAGGCAGCAGCUAAGAAUAUUCCGCAAUGGACGAAAGUCUGACGGAGCGACGCCGCGUGGAUGAUGAAGGGCCCGGAAGGUUGUAAAAUCCUUUUAUGACUGAGGAAUAAGCAGGGUGAGAGAAACGCCCUGUGGUGACUGUAGGUCAUGAAUAAGCAACGGCUAAUUACGUGCCAGCCGCUGC